Molecule: long non-coding RNA, 1371 nt
Filed under: Equus asinus (donkey)
Lineage: Eukaryota; Metazoa; Chordata; Mammalia; Perissodactyla; Equidae
Description: lncRNA (ENSEASG00005028167.1)
Source: RNAcentral
AUUCUUCCUACUCUCAUUCCUCUGGCACUUGGUGGCAAGAUUCCAGCACAGCAAGUGUAAUCAAUAGACUCCUAUAAGUCUUUCUUGCUGCUAGUGGUUGGGGUCAGCCGUUGGUGAGCCUAAAGGAAUAAUAAGGGCCUCCCCUCUUCUGGUUAGAUCCUACUAUAGACUAGCAUAGUGUUUUCCUUUUUUCUCUUGUUUGGUCAAAUAGGUGAAAGCAUUUAGAUUUCCUGAAAUUAUUUUCUGUUUAGGGAUUAUCUUUAAGAUACCGAAUCGGAUACUUCAUGGAGACUCUUCACCUUGUUGUGUGUUGGUCCCUACCCUUAGCUCUGGGAAAAAAUUUGCCCUAGUGGUAGAAACGUUAGACUUUCUGGAUCCAGAGCUCAUGGGUUUUGCCUUCAGUCAGUUCUGCUUUUGGAUUUGGUCCUGGAUGCCCUAGCUGGGCUUUGCUGCUGAUCUUUGGUUGCUGUGGUUAGGUUUCCACCAUGAGUGGCUAGAUCCCCAGAUGCUGUCUGUCUGAUUGAUUGAAGCUCUGCUUAUUGCCUGCCAUCAGAGUCACCUGAUGAUAAACUCUGUUCACCUGCAAGGCUAUCCACCUGUUGUCUACUUCUAGACCUAUCUAACGCUUAACAUCUGUCUGACUGAACUUCCUUCCUUAUCCAGCCAGUCUUCCUUUAGUUUGCUAUUGGCCAUUUGUGUUACUGACAAAAUCCCUGGUCCCAAAGCAAAAGAGAAUGGCGUAUAGUGGAAAUAUGUGAGAAGCAGAAGGCGAAGAGUAUGUAAAGUGUCCAGAACUCUCCAGUCAUUAGACUGUGUUCCUGGCAACUAUUGUGUUGGUGAUUUGACAGAUUGGAAAAGUAAUUACCUCUUAUGGAAAAGUCAUCUAUUUCCUCUAUGGAAGAUGAUUAAUAUGUUUACCUUUUGUGCAUCCUUUUAAAUCUUUUGGCCCUACUUUCCAUUCCAACCACUGCUGCAGCAAUCAGUUCUUUGCAGGCUUCCAGCAUCUUCAUGCAGGUGAACGGAACAGCACCUCGCCACUGCAUCUCAGUGCCUCAGACCUAAACUGAGGAAAUGGAUCAAGAGAUUUCAGAUGAUUAUUCAGUUCAAGGCACAGAAUCAUAAUUGGUCUAGGCAAGAACAUUCUAUACAAUUUUAUCAUUAUUUCCUUUCAUGUUUUAUCACCGAGUCUAUACCCCUAGACUUCCUCCUAUAUAUAUCUUAUCCCUCUAUCUAAUGUAUGUGAUUUUACUUUUCCAUUCCAUAUAUGUAUGUAUGUAUUUCGUAAAAUAUGGGUAAGGCUGUUCCUUGUGUAUAUAUUUAAUCUCCAUAAUAGCGAUGUACUCUAAACUUCAUUCUCUCAAAAAAGUGUUC